ACAAACGCUGGCGGCAUGCCUAACACAUGCCAGUCGAACGGACAGAACAGGGAAGCUUUUCGGAGUGGAACUGGAAAGUUAGUGGCGGAUGGGUGAGUAACGCGUGGACAACCUACCUUGUAAAGGGGAAUAACCUCGAGAAAUCGAAGCUAAUACCCCAUAAUAACCUUGCUUCGCAUGAAGUAAGGAGGAAAGGCGGCCUUAGCGCUGUCGAUACAAGAUGGGUCCGCGUCUGAUUAGCUAGUUGGUGAGGUAAAGGCUCACCAAGGCGACGAUCAGUAGCCGGCCUGAGAGGGUGAACGGCCACAUUGGGACUGAGACACGGCCCAAACUCCUACGGGAGGCAGCAGUGGGGAAUCUUCCGCAAUGGGCGAAAGCCUGACGGAGCAAUGCCGCGUGAGUGAAGAAGGCCUUCGGGUUGUAAAACUCUGUCCUUAUCGAAGAGAGAGUGUUGUAGUAACUGACAAUACUAGGACGGUAGAUGAGGAGGAAGCCCCGGCUAACUAUGUG
This 510-nucleotide ribosomal RNA is filed under the name uncultured bacterium. RNAcentral's name for it is "partial 16S ribosomal RNA". It matches the Rfam family "Bacterial small subunit ribosomal RNA", at positions 29 to 507 of the family's 1533-position model. The record is from RNAcentral.